RNAcentral lists this long non-coding RNA (458 nucleotides) under Zea mays. RNAcentral's name for it is "long non-coding RNA (ZMAY_LNC003507)". The record is from RNAcentral. Lineage: Eukaryota; Viridiplantae; Streptophyta; Magnoliopsida; Poales; Poaceae.
AUGCAGCUUCUAAUGGCGUAUAUAUACGAAAGAAUAAUUUUAACUCCGCAAUUCUCUGCAUGAAUAUAAAUAGUCACUUUGUCUUGGGGGACGAGCAACCGCAGAGGUAGCUCCAAAUGCUCUUCUUCACGCGGUUACGCUUUGCCAUCGCCCUUCACCCAAGAGCUCGAUCGCACUACAGCUCAAAAGAUGUUCCUGAAAAUAACAAAAUCAUAUUAUUAGCUACGACGUACCCUCAGACAGCUUAAUGACUUUGCUCACUGUGCAAAUAACAAAUGACCUAUAUAUAUAUAUAUAUGUCAUUAUAUAUAUAUCUAUAGUAGGCGAUGAGAUACAAGAGUGAGAGACCUACACAAUUAAUUAAAAUAUAUAGAAGCAUACAUGUGCCUGCUGCAGCUGCAUGCGCCUCUUCAGAUCGAUAAAGACUGCACAUACCUGAAACAGAAGCUCGUCCUCUG